RNAcentral lists this ribosomal RNA (491 nucleotides) under uncultured bacterium. Its description in RNAcentral is "bacterial SSU rRNA". It matches the Rfam family "Bacterial small subunit ribosomal RNA", at positions 29 to 509 of the family's 1533-position model. The record is from RNAcentral.
AUUGAACGCUGGCGGCAUGCCUUACACAUGCAAGUCGAACGGCAGCAUGGGUGCUUGCACCUGAUGGCGAGUGGCGAACGGGUGAGUAAUGCGAUCGGAACGUACCCGGAAGUGGGGGAUAACGUAGCGAAAGUUACGCUAAUACCGCAUAUUCUGUGAGCAGGAAAGCGGGGGAUCGCAAGACCUCGCGCUUCCGGAGCGGCCGAUGUCGGAUUAGCUAGUUGGCGGGGUAAAGGCCCACCAAGGCAACGAUCCGUAGCGGGUCUGAGAGGAUGACCAGCCACACUGGGACUGAGACACGGCCCAGACUCCUACGGGAGGCAGCAGUGGGGAAUAUUGGACAAUGGGCGCAAGCCUGAUCCAGCAAUGCCGCGUGUGUGAAGAAGGCCUGCGGGUUGUAAAGCACUUUUCAGUGGGGAAGAACGGGCCAAGGUUAAUACCCCUGGGCUUCUGACGUUACCCACAGAAGAAGCACCGGCUAACUCCGUGCC